Molecule: unclassified non-coding RNA, 332 nt
Filed under: soil metagenome
Description: partial contains 5.8S ribosomal RNA, internal transcribed spacer 2, and large subunit ribosomal RNA
Rfam family: 5.8S ribosomal RNA (bases 1-120)
Source: RNAcentral
GAUGAAGAACGUAGCGAAAUGCGAUAAGUAGUGUGAAUUGCAGAAUUCAGUGAAUCAUCGAAUCUUUGAACGCACAUUGCGCCCUUUGGUAUUCCUUAGGGCAUGCCUGUUCGAGCGUCAUUUAAACCUUCAAGCUAAGCUUGGUGUUGGGUGACUGUCCGCUUCACGGCGGACUCGCCUCAAAAUUAUUGGCGGCCGGUACAUUGGCUUCGAGCGCAGCAGAAACGCGAACUCGGGCCCGUCGUAUUGGCUCCCAGAAGCUAUCUUCACAAUUUUGACCUCGGAUCAGGUAGGGAUACCCGCUGAACUUAAGCAUAUCAAUAAGAGGAGGA